RNAcentral lists this ribosomal RNA (1425 nucleotides) under Klebsiella sp. RNAcentral's name for it is "bacterial SSU rRNA". The record is from RNAcentral. Lineage: Bacteria; Pseudomonadati; Pseudomonadota; Gammaproteobacteria; Enterobacterales; Enterobacteriaceae.
CAGCUACACAUGCAGUCGAGCGGUAGCACAGAGAGCUUGCUCUCGGGUGACGAGCGGCGGACGGGUGAGUAAUGUCUGGGAAACUGCCUGAUGGAGGGGGAUAACUACUGGAAACGGUAGCUAAUACCGCAUAACGUCGCAAGACCAAAGUGGGGGACCUUCGGGCCUCAUGCCAUCAGAUGUGCCCAGAUGGGAUUAGCUAGUAGGUGGGGUAACGGCUCACCUAGGCGACGAUCCCUAGCUGGUCUGAGAGGAUGACCAGCCACACUGGAACUGAGACACGGUCCAGACUCCUACGGGAGGCAGCAGUGGGGAAUAUUGCACAAUGGGCGCAAGCCUGAUGCAGCCAUGCCGCGUGUGUGAAGAAGGCCUUCGGGUUGUAAAGCACUUUCAGCGGGGAGGAAGGCGGUGAGGUUAAUAACCUCAUCGAUUGACGUUACCCGCAGAAGAAGCACCGGCUAACUCCUUGCCAGCAGCCGCGGUAAUACGGAGGGUGCAAGCGUUAAUCGGAAUUACUGGGCGUAAAGCGCACGCAGGCGGUCUGUCAAGUCGGAUGUGAAAUCCCCGGGCUCAACCUGGGAACUGCAUUCGAAACUGGCAGGCUAGAGUCUUGUAGAGGGGGGUAGAAUUCCGGGUGUAGCGGUGAAAUGCGUAGAGAUCUGGAGGAAUACCGGUGGCGAAGGCGGCCCCCUGGACAAAGACUGACGCUCAGGUGCGAAAGCGUGGGGAGCAAACAGGAUUAGAUACCCUGGUAGUCCACGCUGUAAACGAUGUCGAUUUGGAGGUUGUGCCCUUGAGGCGUGGCUUCCGGAGCUAACGCGUUARAUCGACCGCCUGGGGAGUACGGCCGCAAGGUUAAAACUCAAAUGAAUUGACGGGGGCCCGCACAAGCGGUGGAGCAUGUGGUUUAAUUCGAUGCAACGCGAAGAACCUUACCUGGUCUUGACAUCCACAGAACUUUCCAGAGAUGGAUUGGUGCCUUCGGGAACUGUGAGACAGGUGCUGCAUGGCUGUCGUCAGCUCGUGUUGUGAAAUGUUGGGUUAAGUCCCGCAACGAGCGCAACCCUUAUCCUUUGUUGCCAGCGGUUAGGCCGGGAACUCAAAGGAGACUGCCAGUGAUAAACUGGAGGAAGGUGGGGAUGACGUCAAGUCAUCAUGGCCCUUACGACCAGGGCUACACACGUGCUACAAUGGCAUAUACAAAGAGAAGCGACCUCGCGAGAGCAAGCGGACCUCAUAAAGUAUGUCGUAGUCCGGAUUGGAGUCUGCAACUCGACUCCAUGAAGUCGGAAUCGCUAGUAAUCGUAGAUCAGAAUGCUACGGUGAAUACGUUCCCGGGCCUUGUACACACCGCCCGUCACACCAUGGGAGUGGGUUGCAAAAGAAGUAGGUAGCUUAACCUUCGGGAGGGCGCUUACCACCUUU